This 254-nucleotide ribosomal RNA is filed under the name uncultured bacterium. Its description in RNAcentral is "partial 16S ribosomal RNA". It matches the Rfam family "Bacterial small subunit ribosomal RNA", at positions 524 to 776 of the family's 1533-position model. The record is from RNAcentral.
UACGUAGGGGGCAAGCGUUGUCCGGAUUUAUUGGGCGUAAAGAGCGUGUAGGCGGCUUUACAGGUCCGUUGUGAAAACUCUAGGCUCAACCUAGAGACGCCACCCGAUACUGCGAUGACUAGAGUCCGGUAGGGGAGACUGGAAUUCCUGGUGUAGCGGUGAAAUGCGCAGAUAUCAGGAGGAACACCGGUGGCGAAGGCGGGUCUCUGGGCCGAUACUGACGCUGAGGAGCGAAAGCGUGGGGAGCGAACAGG